This 485-nucleotide unclassified non-coding RNA is filed under the name Hevea brasiliensis (rubber tree). Lineage: Eukaryota; Viridiplantae; Streptophyta; Magnoliopsida; Malpighiales; Euphorbiaceae. The record is from RNAcentral.
CUAGUAUGUUCCUCGUCAAUCUGGACCACCCUAGACCCCGCUAAACCUUUACAGUACAGCAACCUCGUAUCGAAGUUCACAUCGAAUCCUCUCCCCAGAGCUUGCACCGAAUUCAUUGCCGUGUGCAUAACCGCGGCAUUCGCCGUUGCAUUUCCAAUUGCAUUCUCCCCCAUUUCUCAUCAGUAAAAACUACUUGCGAUUCCCGUCGAUUUCCCUAAAAUCCUAAUUCCCAGUUACGAUUAUUCAACCUCAUAGUUGACAGUCCCAAUCCUGCUGCAAUAUCCCCUUAUACUUUUGAAUUAUCAAUUCAGGACGACGAGACUUGCCAAGAGAUGAAACCCAUAUCCCAAAACCACAUGUUUAUACAGCGGUUUCCUUGGCAAAAGAAGAGUUGACUGAGAGAGAAAGCCUUUGAAGAAGAUUCUGCAUGAUGAAUUAUAUAAUAUAAAAUCUGUAUCUUCUCUGGAUCUUGAACCCCAUGGAAG